This 398-nucleotide ribosomal RNA is filed under the name uncultured prokaryote. Its description in RNAcentral is "partial 16S ribosomal RNA". The record is from RNAcentral.
CCCUAUGGGGUGCAUGUAACCACCAAUGCGUCAAACAUUAUUAUAGCAGAUAAUUCCACUGGAAAAAUGGCCAGAUCAGUGGUGGAUGAAAUGGGAGUUAACGUCACUGUUUAUAAAUUUGCAUCAGCCGAUGAUGUUACCCAUGAACUGGAACACGCCCUCGAUGAUUCAAAUAAGAAGAUCCUGGCAGUGGCUUACACAGACACAGUUAAACAAUUCAUAAGUCAGCAUCCAGAAGUUUCUAGCCGAAUUAUGGUGGCAGAUGCAAAUGAAAAUUCCAUCCAGCAGGGUUUAACCAAGUUAAACGUUGCCGGAUCUACCAGUGCGGGUUUUUUAACACCAUUACUAUCCGGCCUAUUAAUUGGACUGGUAUUUGGACUGGGAAUUGGCGGGAGGGC